AAUUGCACUUUUCGUCCUUUAUGUUUCAGGGUUUCUGCAGGCGCUGUCCUUUAAGUUUAAAAAUUACACUAUGUUUGCAACCUAUAACGGGCGGUGUCCUUUCUCAUAAACCCAGUUAUCUUUUAAUGUUAAAACCCCUUGUCUUUCUCAACUUCAAACAUGAAGGACCUUUUAUAUAAAAAAGUGAAACAUGGGUCAAGCAGGGGAAGCCCUAAUUGUGCUUCACCGCCGUACACUGCGACCAACCGUCGUGCGAUAUGCUCUACGCUGCUGCCGGAAAGUUGCCAGGAUGAGGUUGAUUGAAGAAGCUGCUUCACGGUUGUAUAAUAACAAAAGAUAUGUUGCUACACAACCUACCACCAAACGAGAAUCCACGUGUACUGGAGUUUUCAUGCCCCGGCAACCCGAGCCCCGACUGAGCCCUUUAAAAAACGGGGAUGUUCGGCCGUUUUAUUUUCAGAUAGAGUGGUGCAGGCUCUCGAUUUAAAAUUGGAAGCCAUGGGAGGUGAAUCAAAGCUUCAAUCUCGUUGCAAUGGAGGAUCUGACUACAAUGCGGAGAUUAUGUAUCGGUGGGGAUGACGGAGUUCAGGCUUCCUCAAGAAUGGACCUAUUGAUGAUAAUGAUGGAGAAUUUAAGUAGGAAAUCGUUACAUAUAAGCAUAAUAUAGUAUAGGAGUUGGUUUUGUUUAAGUGGUGUAUGGAUGAAUGAAUCAAAGGAAUAUGAUGAAUGAAUGAAUAAAGUGAAGGUGAAGAUCCUAGCAUAAUGCUCUGUUUUGGGUUAGAAUGAGCAUUGGGUUUAUUUCUAGAGAAUAAUAAGGUAGGGGUAAUGGUAUUAGA
Molecule: long non-coding RNA, 836 nt
Organism: Helianthus annuus (common sunflower)
Lineage: Eukaryota; Viridiplantae; Streptophyta; Magnoliopsida; Asterales; Asteraceae
Exons: 3
Source: RefSeq, a predicted model, not a curated record